CUGGGGAUAUUGCACAAUGGGCGGAACCUGAUGCAGCAACGCCGCGUGCGGGAUGAUGGCCCUCGGGCUGUAAACCGCCCUCGCCUCUGACGAUGCGUGAGUGACGGUACUGGGUAAUGAUGCACCGGCUAUCUACGUGCCAGCAGCCGCGGUGCUACGUAGGGUGCGAGCCCUGUCCGGCCCUCCUGGGCGUAAAGGGCUCGUAGCUGGUUGAUCGCGUCGGAAGUGUAAUCUCUGGGGCUUAACCCUGAGCGUGCUUUCGAUACGGGUUGACUCUGAGGAAGGUAGGGGAGAAAUGGAAUUCCUGGUGGAGCGGUGGAAUGCGCAAUAUCAGGAGGAACACCAGUGGCGAAGGCGGUCUCUCUGGGCCUUUUCCUGACGCUUGAGGAGCGAAAGCGUGGGGAGCGAACAGGCUUAGAUACCCUGGUAGUCCACGCUUGUAAACGGUGGGUACUAGGUGUGGGGUCCGUUCCACGGGUUCCGUGCCGUAGCUAACGCUUUAAUUACCCCGCCUGGGGAGUACGGCCGCAAGGCUAAAACUCAAAGAAUCACUAUUGAU
This 559-nucleotide ribosomal RNA is filed under the name uncultured bacterium. RNAcentral's name for it is "bacterial SSU rRNA". It matches the Rfam family "Bacterial small subunit ribosomal RNA", at positions 355 to 920 of the family's 1533-position model. The record is from RNAcentral.